GAUGAACGCUGGCAGCGUGCUUAACACAUGCAAGUCUAACGCAAAGCUGCUGUUGUUGUGCGUUGCUCGAGUGGCGAACGGAUGAGCAACACAUGAAUAACCUGCCCUGGACUGUGGGACAGCUUCAGAAGACUGGGGCUAACACCGGAUAGGAGCUCGUGCCGCAUGGUGGGGGUUGGAAAGUUUAGGCGGUGGGGGAUGGACUCGCGGCUUAUCAGCUUGUUGGGGGGGUAGUGGACUACCAAGGCUUUGGCGGGUCGCCGGCCUGAGAGGGUGACCGGGCACAUUGGGACUGAGAGACGGCCCAGACUCCUACGGGAGGCAGCGGUGUGGAGUAUUGCACAAUGGGGGGAAGCCUGAUGAAGAAACGCCGUGUGUGGGAUGACGGGCUUCGGGUUGUAAACCGCGUUCGCCGGAGACGAAGCGAGAGUGACGGUAAUGGGUAAAGAAGCACCGGCUAACUACGUG
Molecule: ribosomal RNA, 468 nt
Filed under: uncultured bacterium
Lineage: Bacteria
Description: partial 16S ribosomal RNA
Rfam family: Bacterial small subunit ribosomal RNA
Source: RNAcentral